UACACUCCUACGGGAGGCAGCAGUGGGGAAUAUUGGACAAUGGGCGCAAGCCUGAUCCAGCCAUGCCGCGUGAGUGAUGAAGGCCCUAGGGUUGUAAAGCUCUUUCACCGGUGAAGAUAAUGACGGUAACCGGAGAAGAAGCCCCGGCUAACUUCGUGCCAGCAGCCGCGGUAAUACGAAGGGGGCUAGCGUUGUUCGGAUUUACUGGGCGUAAAGCGCACGUAGGCGGACUAUUAAGUCAGGGGUGAAAUCCCGGGGCUCAACCCCGGAACUGCCUUUGAUACUGGUAGUCUUGAGUUCGAGAGAGGUGAGUGGAAUUCCGAGUGUAGAGGUGAAAUUCGUAGAUAUUCGGAGGAACACCAGUGGCGAAGGCGGCUCACUGGCUCGAUACUGACGCUGAGGUGCGAAAGCGUGGGGAGCAAACAGGAUUAGAUACCCGGGUAGUCC
RNAcentral lists this ribosomal RNA (447 nucleotides) under uncultured organism. Its description in RNAcentral is "partial 16S ribosomal RNA". It matches the Rfam family "Bacterial small subunit ribosomal RNA", at positions 332 to 796 of the family's 1533-position model. The record is from RNAcentral.